Molecule: ribosomal RNA, 2427 nt
Filed under: Fimbriimonadaceae bacterium
Lineage: Bacteria; Bacillati; Armatimonadota; Fimbriimonadia; Fimbriimonadales; Fimbriimonadaceae
Description: partial 23S ribosomal RNA
Rfam family: Bacterial large subunit ribosomal RNA
Source: RNAcentral
UGAAGUGUUGGUAACACAACAUGGAGGACCGAACUCAUUGAUGUUGAAAAAUCUCGGGAUGAGCUGUGGUUAGUCCGGUGAAAUGCCAAUCGAACGCAGAGAUAGCUGGUUCUCCCCGAAAUGCAUUUGGGUGCAGCGUUAUGCGUUUUUAUACGGGGGUAGAGCACUGAAUGGGCUAGGGGGCCUACCAGCUUACUGAACCCAACCAAACUCCGAAUACCGUAUAAUUAGCAUAGCAGUGAGACUACGAGGGAUAAGCUCCGUGGUCAAAAGGAAAACAGUCCAGAUCGUCAGCUAAGGGCCCUAAACAUAGACUAAGUGUGAAACGAUGUGAAAUCGCGUAAACAGCCAGGAGGUUGGCUUAGAAGCAGCCACCCUUUAAAAAGUGCGUAAUAGCUUACUGGCCGAAUGUGAUUUUGCGCGGAAAAUGUAAGGGGGCUAAAGUCUAUUCCCGAAGCUACGGGAUCCCGCAUGAGCGGUGAUCGGUAGGGGAGCGUCCUGUUCAGCAGUGAAGCUAGAGCGUAAGCACUGGUGGAGCGGAUAGGAGCGAGAAUGCAGGCAUGAGUAGCGAUUAUUGGGGUGAGAAUCCCCAACGCCGAAAACCUAAGGUUUCUCCGGCUAUGUUCGUCAGACGGAGGUUAGGCGGUCCCUAAGGCGAGGCCAGAAGGCGUAGCCGAUGGACAUCCGGUUGAAAUUCCGGACCUUGGUGCAGUAGUGAUGGAGGGACGCUUCUUGAUGUUUCAUCCCACACCGUUGGUUGUUGUGGGCUACCGGGAUAACCCAGCUGUUUAAUAGAUGGCUUUUCAAAGGGUGGGGCCGGGGGGAAGGGAUUGCUUCGGCAUGAACGAACUGGGACUGAGGGGGGCCGAGAAAAGCUUCUAAACUUAUACUGCAUCAAACCGUACUGCAAACCGACACAGGUAGGUGAGUCGAGGAGACUAAGGCGUUCGAGAGAACUCUCGUUAAGGAACUAGGCAAACGAGCCCCGUAACUUUGGAAGAAGGGGCGCCUCGAAAGAGGCCGCAGCGAAGCAGCCCAGGCGACUGUUUACCAAAAACACAGGUCUCUGCUAAGACGAAAGUCGAUGUAUAGGGGCUGACGCCUGCCCAAUGCCAGUCCAUUAAGCGGAGAUGUCAGGAGCAAUCUGAAGCAUUGAAGUGAAGUGCUGGUGAAUGGCGGCCGUAACUCUAACGGUCCUAAGGUAGGAAUAUGCACUGCCUUAGUAAAAUCUAGCUAUAUGCUGGAAAGUCUGAGUAUCUCUGGUUACGAGUUGAUCAACGGGUCAGCCGUGAAAAUAUCAGAGUGCAGAUAAUCAGCAGGAAAGAUCCCGAUCCGUCGGGAAAUCCUCAGAGGCCAUACGCUAGAUAUUCGGAAAGUCAAAGUUCAUUCCGAAUAAAGAGAUGGUCCCAUCUGCAUGGCGACAUGCAGGGAUGAUUCAGCUCAAAACAGAAUCAUCCGCUCGAAGCCGAAAAGGCAAAGAGUAAGACAUUGAGCGAAAUUCCUUGUCGGCUAAAUACCGACCCGCAUGAAAGGCGUAACGACUUGGGCACUGUCUCAACGAGAAGCUCGGUGAAAUUGUAGCACCCGUGAAGAUGCGGGUUCCGCGCAGUAGGACGGAAAGACCCCGUGGAGCUUUACUACACCUUCAGAUUGUAAGCUGGUUGUAGAUGUAGAGCGUAGGUGGGAGCCUCGGCACCAAUGGAACACCACCCUUUUACAUCUGGUUUACUAACCCGCACCGUUAUCCGGUGUGGAGACAUUCUGUGGCGGGUAGUUUGACUGGGGCGGUCGCCUCCCAAAAGGUAACGGAGGCGUACAAAGGCACACUCAGCCUGGUCGGAAAUCAGGCGUCGAGCGUAUAGGUAUAUAGUGUGCUUGACUGUGAGACCAACAAGUCGAGCAGGGACGAAAGUCGGUCUAAGUGACCCUCUGGUGGUGCGUGGGCACGCCAGGGUUCAUCGGAUAAAAGCUACCCCGGGGAUAACAGGCUGAUCUUGCCCGAGCGCUCACAGCGACGGCAUGGUUUGGCACCUCGAUGUCGGCUCGUCUCAUCCUGGGGCUGUACACGGUCCCAAGGGUUCCGGAGUUCACGGAUUAAAGAGGCACGCGAGCUGGGUUCAGAACGGCGUGAGCCAGUUCGGUCCCUAUCCACUGCGCGCGUAGGAUAUUUGAGGGGAGUCGUUCUUAGUACGAGAGGACCGGAAUGAACCGACCUCUGGUGUACCAGUUGUCCCGCCAGGGGCAUACGCUGGGUAGCCACGUCGGGCAGCGAUAAGCGCUGAAAGCAUCUAAGCGCCAAGCGCACCCCAAGAUUAGAUAUCCCAUCUAUGAGUAAGGUCCCUAGAAGAUCACUAGGAGAUAGGCCGCGUGUGUAAGCACAGCAAUGUGUUGAGCUGAGCGGUACUAAUUGACCGAGGGCUUAAAAAU